This 315-nucleotide ribosomal RNA is filed under the name Triticum aestivum (bread wheat). RNAcentral describes it as "partial small subunit ribosomal RNA". Lineage: Eukaryota; Viridiplantae; Streptophyta; Magnoliopsida; Poales; Poaceae. The record is from RNAcentral.
AUGAUGCAGCUCGGAGGCGGCAGCUGCUGCUCACGGAGGUGCGCCUUGAGCGGCUCCCGAAGCGCGGCGCAUGCCUCCAAGAAGUUCGACAGCAGAUCCUGCGAUUGGAUCAUGUCGACGGUCUCGCACCCGUCCGGUAGGCCAAACUUGGCUGCCGGGAAAUGGAGCUCCACGAGCCGGACCGCCAGGCCUGUCUCCUCCACGUGGGCGGCAAAGCUCGCCAACCUGGACGCGUUCACUGGCGUGGUGAUGAAGGUGACCUGCGCGCCGUGCUCGGCCAGCAGGCUCGCCAUGUCGGUCAUGGGGAUUAUGUGA